CAGCCGCCGCGGUAAUACAGAGGGUGCGAGCGUUAAUCGGAAUUACUGGGCGUAAAGCGCACGCAGGCGGUCUGUCAAGUCGGAUGUGAAAUCCCCGGGCUCAACCUGGGAACUGCAUUCGAAACUGGCAGGCUAGAGUCUUGUAGAGGGGGGUAGAAUUCCAGGUGUAGCGGUGAAAUGCGUAGAGAUCUGGAGGAAUACCGGUGGCGAAGGCGGCCCCCUGGACAAAGACUGACGCUCAGGUGCGAAAGCGUGGGGAGCAAACAGGAUUAGAUACCCCUGUAGUCCCUGUCUCUUAUAC
Molecule: ribosomal RNA, 301 nt
Filed under: uncultured bacterium
Lineage: Bacteria
Description: partial 16S ribosomal RNA
Rfam family: Bacterial small subunit ribosomal RNA
Source: RNAcentral